GUUUCUUCGGAAAUGGAUUAGCGGCGAACGGGUGAGGAACACGUGAAGAAUCUGCCCUCCACUUUGGGAUAACACCGGGAAACCGGUGCUAAUACCGAAUAUUGAAACAUAAGUGGCAUCACUGAGUUUUGAAAGAAUUUCGGUGGAGGAUGACUUCGCGGCCUAUCAGCUAGUUGGUGAGGUAAUGGCUCACCAAGGCAACGACGGGUAGCCGGCCUGAGAGGGCGACCGGCCACACUGGGACUGAGACACGGCCCAGACUCCUACGGGAGGCAGCAGUGGGGAAUAUUGGGCAAUGGAGGAAACUCUGACCCAGCGACGCCGCGUGCGGGAUGAAGGCCUUCGGGUUGUAAACCGCUUUCAGUAGGGAAGAAGCGAAAGUGACGGUACCUACAAAAGAAGCACCGGCUAACUAUGUGCCAGCAGCCGCGGUAAUACAUAGGGUGCAAGCGUUGUCCGGAAUUAUUGGGCGUAAAGAGCUCGU
Molecule: ribosomal RNA, 484 nt
Filed under: uncultured Actinomycetes bacterium
Lineage: Bacteria; Bacillati; Actinomycetota; Actinomycetes
Description: bacterial SSU rRNA
Rfam family: Bacterial small subunit ribosomal RNA
Source: RNAcentral